UAGGGAAUCUUCGGCAAUGGGGGCAACCCUGACCGAGCAGCGCCGCGUGAGUGAAGAAGGUUUUCGGAUCGUAAAGCUCUGUUGUAAGAGAAGAACGUGUGUGAGAGUGGAAAGUUCACACAGUGACGGUAACUUACCAGAAAGGGACGGCUAACUACGUGCCCG
RNAcentral lists this ribosomal RNA (165 nucleotides) under uncultured bacterium. Its description in RNAcentral is "partial 16S rRNA". It matches the Rfam family "Bacterial small subunit ribosomal RNA", at positions 355 to 511 of the family's 1533-position model. The record is from RNAcentral.